RNAcentral lists this ribosomal RNA (503 nucleotides) under Apiomerus venosus. RNAcentral's name for it is "partial 16S ribosomal RNA". It matches the Rfam family "Bacterial large subunit ribosomal RNA", at positions 1816 to 2589 of the family's 2925-position model. The record is from RNAcentral. Lineage: Eukaryota; Metazoa; Arthropoda; Insecta; Hemiptera; Reduviidae.
CAUGUCCUCUUGAUUUUAUUUGAGGUCUGACCUGCCCAAUGAUUUUAUUUAAUGGCCGCGGUAUUUUAACUGUGCUAAGGUAGCAUAAUCAUUUGUCUUUUAAUUGAAGGCUAGUAUGAAUGGUUGGACGAGACAUGAGCUUUCUUUAAUUUAAUUUGUGAAUUUAAUUUUUUAGUUAAAAAGCUAAAAUUUAUUUGUUGGACGAGAAGACCCUAUAGAUCUUUAUAUUUAUUUUUUGAUUGGGUAAUUUGGUUUAUUUUUUAUUUGGAUUAGAGUAAGUAUUUGGUUGGGGUGACUGUAGAAUUUUAAUAACUUCUAUUUUUGUUUUUCAUUUAUUUAUGUUUUUUUGAUCCAUUAUUUAUGAUUAUAAGAUUAAGUUACCUUAGGGAUAACAGCGUAAUUUUUUUGGAGAGUUCAUAUCGAUAAAAGAGUUUGCGACCUCGAUGUUGGAUUAAAAUAAGUAAUAGAUGCAGUAGUUUAUUAACGAGGUCUGUUCGACCUUU